This 1950-nucleotide long non-coding RNA is filed under the name Helianthus annuus (common sunflower). RNAcentral's name for it is "hypothetical non coding rna". The record is from RNAcentral. Lineage: Eukaryota; Viridiplantae; Streptophyta; Magnoliopsida; Asterales; Asteraceae.
AGUUUUUGACCCGGCAAUGUAAACCUUCUAAAACAAUAACAAAUCCAACAUCCCCUCAUACGCACAAAACUUUACCACGUUUCAAUUGAAGUCGGCAGUGAGCAAUCUUUCUAUGAUAAUUCUUCUACCUUUUCAAUCUUCGUCUAGGUUUAAAUCAUCUGUUUGCGAUAAUCCCUAACUCAAUUUCAUUUUUUGUGAGAAACAAGCCCUCAUCUUCAAUUGGGUCUGAUUUCAUCUUUUGCGACAAAAAGUCUGAUUUGAUUGGAUUCAAUUUCAUCAUUUGCUACGGACAAUCCUAGCAUUCGAUCGGUGCUUCCUUCAUCUUCAAUUUCGCAGAGUUGUUCUCCUUACUAAAAUCGUCUAGCUUAUUCUCCAAAGUACAACGUCUCAAACUACUAAAGGUAUUCUCGACACUUCAUUUUCUAGUUUUCGUCACAACAUGCUUGCAAAUUAUUUUUAUUAAAGAGGUAAUAAUAGAUUGGUUUAAUAUUUAUAUUCAUCUUAUAAUUUCUUACUUUUUUCAGCCAUUGCUUGCGUGGUGUAAGAAGCUACAAUGCACAAGUAGUCAAGCACUAAGUAUGAAAAUCAGGUUCUGAGCUUAUGAGAGUGUUUGAAAUCACUUAGCUAAACUGCUUAUCUAAUUAUUUAUGAGAAAAAAUAAGCAGUUUGAAGCUGUGUAUUCCGACUGAUUAUUCAAUAAUCCACAAUGAGUUGAAUGUAACUUGUAAGGUGAAUCAAGCAUCGAUUAUGGUCUUCGGUUGCCUAUUGAUCUAAACAAAUGAACAAAACACUGAUAUAUCCAAUUCCAAUGUUGUAAAAAAGGGUUCGCUUUUUAUUUAAUUUAAUGGUGGAAAACAUACGUGCACGCUUUUUAUCAAGCAUCGAUUAUGGUCUUUUGCCUUUUUUUUCUUUUCAACUCCUCAAAUAAUCUUCGUUGCUGCUAUCUCAUGUGUGCUUUGCAGUUAUGGGAUGCUUUAUCUUAAAGAGUUGUCAUUAGUCUAUGGCAAAGUUGCUUGAAUGAAUGUUUCAACCUUUUCCAACCAUGUUGAAUAAAGAAUGUUUCAUUUGAUGAUGUAGCCAACAGUUAAGUAAGGUAAAACAUCGGGUUUAGAUCUUGCUUUUGAAAUUGAUAUCAGGAAAUUUGAUUUAAGACCGAUAAUUUCAGUUGCUACUCUUUAUAAGUAGUAGUUGUGUAUUCUGUUAAAAUGAAAACUGACUUUUAUAUACCUGGUAUAGCAUGAUUAACAAGACUGACAAAGAAACUCUUACAUCAGACCCAAAUUUGGUUAACUUAUAUUUGACUUAACACUAUACCCAUGAAAGUUAUAGUCAAUCUCCACAUGGUAUUUUUUGAUAUAAAAUUUGGAUUAUUAGGUCUAACUCUAGGCAUUCGAGCAAGUCUUAAAACUACAUUUUCUAGAGAUGUGGAUAGGUGAACUAUGGACAUUGAAUACAGACCUGGAUAGGUGAACUAUGGACUUUGAAUACAGGAAUUUAAUUACGUGAAUAUAAAGGUAUAUUUAAACACCAUAACCCAAAUGGCCAUUGCUUACACGACUUUAUGAUCUUCAAUAUUUAGGUGUAGAUCAAUCUACUAUUGUUAAACUUGUGAGUUUGUGUGUUGUUCUAAAAUAACCUGAACCAUUGAGAAUUUCAAAACCUUAUCUUUUCAUCUAAAGUUGACUCGUGGCCUUAACCCGUGACUAAGUUUAUAAAAAAAUUAUAACUCUUUUUUUAGCGAAGACAUUCAUAUGUCAAACUUUUUGUAUGAUUUUAAUUAUAAAUAGUUUUUAAUAUAAGUAACUUGUUCGAGCCUGGGAAGAAAUCGUGGGUGAUAACCUAGUUUGAUAUAUAAGAAAAACCAAAACAAAACUUAUUUGAAAAGAAAAAAACACUACUAGAAAAGAUCUUAGUUUUGUGAUAUUCCUACCAAAAACUUAUUUGAAAAGA